UACGUAGGGGCAAGCGUUGUCCGGAAUCAUUGGGCGUAAAGAGCGCGUAGGCGGUCCGGUAAGUCGGUUGUGAAAACUGGGGGCUCAACCCUCAGAGGCCGACCGAUACUGCUGGGCUAGAGUCCGGAAGAGGCGAGUGGAAUUCCUGGUGUAGCGGUGAAAUGCGCAGAUAUCAGGAGGAACACCGGUGGCGAAGGCGGGUCUCUGGGCCGAUACUGACGCUGAGGAGCGAAAGCAUGGGUAGCGAACAGG
This 252-nucleotide ribosomal RNA is filed under the name uncultured bacterium. RNAcentral describes it as "partial 16S ribosomal RNA". It matches the Rfam family "Bacterial small subunit ribosomal RNA", at positions 524 to 776 of the family's 1533-position model. The record is from RNAcentral.